Molecule: long non-coding RNA, 278 nt
Organism: Mastomys coucha (southern multimammate mouse)
Lineage: Eukaryota; Metazoa; Chordata; Mammalia; Rodentia; Muridae
Exons: 2
Source: RefSeq, a predicted model, not a curated record
GCACGCCAUCCAUCUGUCUUUGGAUGCCUCAGAACAGUUUCUCCUUGCUCAUCUAAAGUCACCACCUUGGGGCGUUGCUCCAUUCUGCAGAUGAAGAAACUGAAGACCAGAAAGGUCAGGGUGAACUAUCCAAGGAUGCAUAGCAAGCAACUCAGUGGCAGAGCUGGUACCCAGUUGUCCCAUUUGUCUGCCCCUCCCAUUCCCAGCCCUCUUUGCAGGGGCUAAUCCAGAAAGCCUGUUCUGAGCUCUGCACCUAAAUAAAAUGCCCCUCCCACCCC